This 433-nucleotide ribosomal RNA is filed under the name uncultured bacterium. Its description in RNAcentral is "partial 16S ribosomal RNA". It matches the Rfam family "Bacterial small subunit ribosomal RNA", at positions 29 to 507 of the family's 1533-position model. The record is from RNAcentral.
AACGAACGCUGGCGGCAGGCUUAACACAUGCCAGUCGAGCGCAUCCUUCGGGGUGAGCGGCGGACGGGUGAGUAACGCGUGGGAACGUGCCCUCUUCUACGGAAUAGCCUCGGGAAACUGAGAGUAAUGCCGUAUACGCCCGCAAGGGGAAAGAUUUAUCGGAGGAGGAUCGGCCCGCGUUGGAUUAGGUAGUUGGUGGGGUAACGGCCUACCAAGCCGACGAUCCAUAGCUGGUUUGAGAGGAUGAUCAGCCACACUGGGACUGAGACACGGCCCAGACUCCUACGGGAGGCAGCAGUGGGGAAUCUUGGACAAUGGGGGCAGCCCUGAUCCAGCCAUGCCGCGUGAUCGAUGAAGGCCUUAGGGUUGUAAAGAUCUUUCAGCUGGGAAGAUAAUGACGGUACCAGCAGAAGAAGCCCCGGCUAACUCCGUG